AAAUGGCUCCCCUUUGUCUGCAAGAGUUCAUUAAAAAAAAAUUGGGAGGAACAGGAGACCCCACAGGCUACCUGCUGCUGCCGCGGCUUGUCAGAGGGACAAGCCCAGACUCGACAGAACGCUCAGAUGAGGGGGAAGGAUCCAGUGCCCUAUUUUUAGUGUCAGAUUUCAGCAAAACAAUUCACUUUCAUUUUAUCACACACACACACACACACACACACACACACACACACACACACUGCUGGGUUU
Molecule: long non-coding RNA, 249 nt
Filed under: Fukomys damarensis (Damara mole-rat)
Lineage: Eukaryota; Metazoa; Chordata; Mammalia; Rodentia; Bathyergidae
Description: lncRNA (ENSFDAG00000027166.1)
Source: RNAcentral